UCUAUGUAGACGAAUAUUUUAAUCGAUGUAUUUAGUACUUUCUGUUAAGUUUGAUAUAAGCGAAGAAAAUAUUUUUGGUUAACAAUGAUGUUCAAUAAUUCGUCCGUACAAUGCAAGGAAUUAAGUGUUGUUCCUUUUUGCUACAUAAAUUACUCAGCAACAUUAUUUGCUGAUAGGUCACUGAGGCCCACCCACUCUGAAUCACAAAAUAUCGGUGUAUACGCGAGAUUUUAACAUGGAAAAUAGAUUGAAGCUGAGAAAAAAAAAUCUCAAUUUUAUCUAGACAGACGUGAAGAAAUUUCACAAAUCGACAAAGCGGCACAUCACUAGUCAUCACAUCAAUGAUAACAAUUUUAUAAAUUUUCUUUGAGAUUUUUUUUCCAUGUGAUAGCAAAAUUUAAAAAUAAUUUUCCAACUUAAAUUAAUUUGAAACGUGUAAAAGACCAGAAAGUGUUUGCGUUAAUAUAUUCGAAGUUACCAUGUUAUAGCAAAGGCUCAUGAUACCAACUCAAUUCAUUACAUAAAAUGAGUCUAAUGCUGCACUUCCUUACUCACUAAAGUCUUUUGAAGUUCUAAAAUUGCUGACAGGCAACAAUACAGAAGGAAAGCGUCCUUGUAAAAAGGAUCUUUCUUCUAAGAUAUUGAAAAAAAAACUAUCCAGUCUGGUUCGAACCCACAGUCCGACAUAUGGUUAUAAAGUUGAUUUUCAGUUCAAAAUUAAAUGUAAUUUCGAUUCAUGUUCACCCAAAGAUUCAUUAAAGCAUACAAACCGAAAACAUUUACAGUUCACUUAACAUUUUCAUACAUUAAAAGUGAGGGUUGCGAAAAUGACCGCUGGCUUCUAUUCUACCUGUAAAUGUCUAACAAAAUUUAGGCUAAAAUUAUCGCAUACUAGACAUAUAUACCAUAAAACAGAAUCAUUUACCUGUCGUUUUGAGAUAAAUGCACACUGUGCACAGGGAUCGAACGGAUGCACAAAAUAAAUCAAUUUCUUAACAGAGCUUCUUUCCCAUACCCUCGCUAAUAUUUACGUACGUCACGUGAGAGAGGGGCCGAGACGGAGACAACAUUUCGACCUCAGGAGCUAGUGGCAGCCUGAGAGCUUUGAACAGAUUCUAGUUUUUCCCUAAAGAUGUGGAAAUAAAUAAAAAAAACAAACGAACGAACAACAACAGUUUUAAGGUAAUUUCGUUUAGUGCUUGUGUACUUGACGUUUCAUAAUUAGCAACCACAUAACGCGUACAAUCGUAAGCCUGGUUCUGCCUUUUGAUUCAAAUAUUUUCAACAUAUAGAUGCAAAAUCUGUUGCUUCAUGAGACUGAACACUGAACAUGUUCUUUGCUAUUGAGACCACACAGUAGACAGUCGUGAUUAUUUAUUUUAAUGUGUAGGCAUCCUGUACGUUGUAUUUACAUUGUCUGCGAUGAGAAUGUAAAUGAAACUUACAUGUUAGGUUUUUCGAUGAUUUACAUGCUAUGCGCGAUCAUUUACAUGCGCUGGUCGGUCAUUUUUCGAUGAUUUUGUUUAUGUUUUCACUUCACACAAACCACGAUAUAAAUUGGAAUCUACACAGGCAGAACUAUUUUUUGGUACACGUGCCAUCGAUACAAUUAAGAAAACACUAAAAUCACAACUGAAUUUAUAAUUUGAAACAACAAAAUCAAAAAAUUUUCACUGAAACUAAGAAUGACAACAAUAAAGAAGUCAAAUAAAUAUCACCGAAAUGGCAGGCACGACCGAUGCCUACUAAAUGAAAAUGAAAUGUUAGUGCAAAAUGUUUAGAAGUGGAAAGGAUCCAAAAUGCUGUUUUAUGCAAAAUUGUUUCGUAGUUUUCAUCUUAGACAAUGUAAAUACAACGCACAGGAUGCCUACACAUUAAA
This is a long non-coding RNA of Bradysia coprophila, 1879 nucleotides long. Lineage: Eukaryota; Metazoa; Arthropoda; Insecta; Diptera; Sciaridae. The record is from RefSeq and is a predicted model, not a curated record.